GAAAAUGCAAAAUGAUAGUAAGAGUAUAGAUCAGGUUGAGUUUUCAAUCUCGAAGAGGAGGAAGAAGAAUGUCAAUGGUGCGAAGACUAAGGUUUGUGGAAAGGAAGUGAAGGAGGAGAACCUUGAUCAGAUAUGCAAGCAGUGCAAAAGUGGUUUGCACGGGGAAGUAAUGCUUUUGUGUGAUAGGUGUAAUAAAGGAUGGCACAUCUAUUGUCUGUCACCGCCAUUAAAGCAAAUACCUCCUGGAAAUUGGUAUUGCUUUGAGUGCUUGAACUCUGAUAAGGACAGUUUCGGUUUUGUGCCUGGAAAAAGAUUUAUGAUGGAAGCUUUUAAGCGUGUUGCCGAUCGAGCCAAGAGGAAGUGGUUUGGUUCAGAAUUUGCUUCACCUGCACAGAUUGAGACUAAAUUUUGGGAGAUUGUGGAAGGAUUGGCAGGUGAAGUUGAAGUUAUGUAUGGCAGCGACCUGGAUACUUCUGUGUAUGGAAGUGGUUUUCCAAGAUUAAAUGAUCAAAGGCCGGAAUCAGUUGAUCCCGAGUCGUGGGAUGAAUACUGUGCUAGCCCUUGGAAUCUGAAUAAUUUGCCAAAGCUGAAAGGUUCCAUGCUUCAGGCUGUCCAUCAAAAUAUUACUGGCGUUAUGGUCCCCUGGUUGUAUGUUGGCAUGCUGUUUUCAGCAUUUUGUUGGCAUUUCGAAGACCACUGCUUUUACUCAAUGAACUACCUGCACUGGUAUGCCUUUAUGACUUUGUUAUCUGAAAUGUCGAAUGCUCCUGUCAAUAGUGGCUUCAUCCAAUCAUUGAUCCACAGUACUGUCUGACAAUAGUUUAAUCUAAGGAUAGAUAUUCAGACCGUAUGAGACAUGAAAUGUUAACUCUGUUCAUUCCAUACAAAUGUUUUGUACAUCUCUGUCAACUUUAGGUUAGUAGAAAGGAUCAUUGUAAGCUUAAUUAGUUAUCUUGUUAAUAGGACAAUAUGAAAUAUCAUGAAUAUGUUCCAACUCUUAUUGGGCUUAGCGUUUUCUAUAUUUAUUGGUCUUACAGCAGUGCUUGAAUAAUUUCUAUUUCUUUUAUAUUCAUACUAUAUUAUUACUUAGAGCCUGGAAGUCUGUUCCGUAAUAACUCUUGCAUUUCGUAUCUGUUUGUCGGAAGCCUUCCUUAACUACUCUUAAUGUUAUGCCCUUCUGUUGGAUAGGUGUCUGUUAUAUAUCCUUCCAGUGUCUAGGCAGGUUUGUGAAGUCGGGUAAAGUAUCGGAGUGUGGGAAGCAUGUCUUGUGCCAACUGUACCGUGAACAUUUGUAUGAUUAUGAGAUGUAUUAUAAUGUUUUGAAUGAAGAUGGGACUAAGGGUUCUAAAAGGAAAAUGCAAAAUGAUAGUAAGAGUAUAGAUCAGGUUGAGUUUUCAUUCUCGAAGAGGAGGCGGAAGAAUGUCAAUGGUGCGAAGAAUAAGGUUUGUGGAAAGGAAGUGAAGGAGGAGAACCUUGAUCAGAUAUGCAAGCAGUGCAAAAGUGGUUUGCACGGGGAAGUAAUGCUUUUGUGUGAUAGGUGUAAUAAAGGAUGGCACAUCUAUUGUCUGUCACCGCCAUUAAAGCAAAUACCUCCUGGAAAUUGGUAUUGCUUUGAGUGCUUGAACUCUGAUAAGGACAGUUUCGGUUUUGUGCCUGGAAAAAGAUUUAUGAUGGAAGCUUUUAAGCGUG
Molecule: long non-coding RNA, 1689 nt
Filed under: Linum usitatissimum (flax)
Lineage: Eukaryota; Viridiplantae; Streptophyta; Magnoliopsida; Malpighiales; Linaceae
Description: long non-coding RNA (LUSI_LNC007905)
Source: RNAcentral